GGCCGCGUGGCGCAAUGGUAGCGCGUUAGUUUCCGGAGCUAGAGGCUGUGGGUUCGAGUCCCACCGUGGUCG
This 72-nucleotide transfer RNA is filed under the name Omphalotus olearius VT 653.13. RNAcentral describes it as "tRNA-Arg (CCG) (tRNA-Arg-CCG-1-1)". It matches the Rfam family "tRNA". Rfam says of the family: Transfer RNA (tRNA) molecules are approximately 80 nucleotides in length. Lineage: Eukaryota; Fungi; Basidiomycota; Agaricomycetes; Agaricales; Omphalotaceae. The record is from RNAcentral.